CCGCUGCCUCCGGAGAGCCCGCGGUUGUGAGCGAACGCCGUCAUCCCCGCUGUACGGGAAGGGCACUGAGGCGAUGUGACACAUCUGUCCGCUGCUCUGGCAGCGCCUGGGCGGCCCUGAAAGCAGAUCGGCCGCUCAGGACCUCUCCUGGGUGUACUGACAGCGGCAUUCACAGCGCUGCCCGGUCCCUGGAGGCAUCCAAGCCAAAGCAUUUGCUCUCAAAGUGACGAUCCAGUUUACAGCCGAAGCGGUUCUGCAUCCCCUUGCCGGACUUCCUCUCGUGAUCUGCUUCACUUCCGCACGCACGCACAGCCACAGCAAUGGCUGGUGGGGUGCCUGCCUGCAUCGUGCCUUGAUGAAAGGCCUGGGGACGGCAGGUGGUCUAUAGAAAAGCAUAGCGAGAGCUGCUAUUCUGCUGGCCUGACGGCAGUAGGAAGCAGCAACAUUUAGUGGAAUUAAAGGGCGGAAAAUUCAAAGCCAAAUGCAAAUGCACACCUAUUACGCCCAGUGAAAUCAGCCCAGAGGACUCGUUGCCACAGGAAGUUGUUUCUGGGACCAAAAGUUCUCUGAGAUGCAAAGGAAGGCUGAGUAAACCUAGAAAACAGCUACUGCUUCCAGCAGAG
RNAcentral lists this long non-coding RNA (623 nucleotides) under Gallus gallus (chicken). RNAcentral describes it as "long non-coding RNA NONGGAT005754". Lineage: Eukaryota; Metazoa; Chordata; Aves; Galliformes; Phasianidae. The record is from RNAcentral.